GAUGAACGCUGGCGGCGUGCCUAAUACAUGCAAGUAGAACGCUGAAGGAGGAGCUUGCUCUUCUGGAUGAGUUGCGAACGGGUGAGUAACGCGUAGGUAACCUGCCUGGUAGCGGGGGAUAACUAUUGGAAACGAUAGCUAAUACCGCAUGACAACAGUUAUUGCAUGAUAACUGUUUAAAAGGGGCAACUGCUCCACUACCAGAUGGACCUGCGUUGUAUUAGCUAGUUGGUGAGGUAACGGCUCACCAAGGCGACGAUACAUAGCCGACCUGAGAGGGUGAUCGGCCACACUGGGACUGAGACACGGCCCAGACUCCUACGGGAGGCAGCAGUAGGGAAUCUUCGGCAAUAGACGGAAGUCUGACCGAGCAACGCCGCGUGAGUGAAGAAGGUUGUCGGAUCGUAAAGCUCGGUUGUAAGAGAAGAACGAGUGUGAGAGUGGAAAGUUCACACUGUGACGGUAUCUUACCAGAAAGGGACGGCUAACUACGUG
RNAcentral lists this ribosomal RNA (495 nucleotides) under uncultured bacterium. Its description in RNAcentral is "partial 16S ribosomal RNA". It matches the Rfam family "Bacterial small subunit ribosomal RNA", at positions 28 to 507 of the family's 1533-position model. The record is from RNAcentral.